Molecule: ribosomal RNA, 253 nt
Filed under: uncultured bacterium
Lineage: Bacteria
Description: partial 16S ribosomal RNA
Rfam family: Bacterial small subunit ribosomal RNA
Source: RNAcentral
UACGUAGGGGGCUAGCGUUGUCCGGAAUCAUUGGGCGUAAAGCGCGUGUAGGCGGUCCGGCAAGUCCGCUGUGAAAGUCGGGGGCUCAACCCUCGAAUGCCGGUGGAUACUGUCGGGCUAGAGUACUGAAGAGGCGAGUGGAAUUCCUGGUGUAGCGGUGAAAUGCGUAGAUAUUGGGAGGAACACCAGUGGCGAAGGCGGCUCACUGGACCGGAACUGACGCUGAGGCGCGAAAGUGUGGGGAGCGAACAGG